CCCUCGCCGCCUGUCACCUUCCCCGUCCGGCAUCUGGAGCCUCGAGCCUGCUUGGAAGGGGUGGCGUGUAUCUCUGCGUGUCGACCGUAGGCGGGGAUGCGAUCCCCUUUUGCAACCUGACCUUCCCUUGGAUUACAGCCAGAGAGCUUUUCACGCCGCUCCUCCUUGCUAUGGGUUUGCCUGCAUGUUAAGGAAGGAGGAACCUUUGCGUGUGCUGCUGCUUUUUCUUCUCUGAUCUGCCCCUCCCCUCAGCUGCUUCCAGGGCUUGGCUGUAUAUUUAUUUAUUGAUUGAUUGAUUGGAUCGCCGCCUUCUCUUUCUUUUUUUAAUCGUCCUCUCCAACACAGAACGUCUCUUUGAAGGCUACUUGGGUGCAGGUGACACACCCUCCUCCUCCUCCUCUCUCCCCCCCCACCCGCACCCCCGUCGCUUCAUUCACUCCUCUUGUUAGUACAAGGGCAAUAGCUGUAGAUUAUUGGAUCUGCUAGGUUCUCUGAAGCUGCUGCCGCUUGAUCGCCGGUGGCGGAAGGCAAAUGCCGGGGAAGGCAGCGAAGAAGAGAAGCUGUGUUGUCUUUGCAGCAAAGUGAAAAACGGAGAAGGCUGCAAAGCUGAGCAGACCAAGCCGAGGGAGAGACUUUCUGCUCCUCCUAAAAGAAAAGAUAAGAGGAGGGGAGGGUGGGAAAAAAAAAUAUCGUUGGGAUCUUGGUAGAUCUUCCCGAAGAUGUCAUCUCAAGCAAAGUUCAAGAAAGACAAAGAGAUCAUAGCAGAAUAUGAAACUCAAGUAAAAGAAAUUCGUACCCAGUUGGUGGAACAGUUCAAAUGCCUAGAACAGCAGUCUGAAUCCCGGUUGCAGCUCCUGCAAGACCUCCAGGAGUUCUUCCGCAGAAAGGCUGAGAUUGAACUGGAGUAUUCUAGGAACUUAGAAAAACUUGCGGAAAGAUUUUCUUCCAAGAUUCGCAGCUCCAGGGAACACCAUCAGUUCAAGAAGGAUCAGCACCUUCUUUCUCCUGUGAACUGCUGGUAUCUGGUACUGACCCAGACUCGGAGAGAAAGCAAAGACCAUGCUACCCUGAACGACAUCUUCAUGAACAAUGUCAUUGUUAGACUCUCCCAGAUCAGUGAGGAUGUCAUCCGGCUAUUUAAAAAGAGUAAGGAAAUCGGACUUCAGAUGCAUGAAGAACUCCUGAAGGUGACCAACGAACUCUACACUGUGAUGAAAACAUACCAUAUGUACCACGCUGAAAGCAUCAGUGCCGAAAGCAAACUGAAGGAUGCCGAGAAGCAAGAAGAGAAACAGUUCAACAAAGCAGGGGACAUCAGCGUGAACCUGUUGCGGCAUGAAGACAGGCCCCAGCGCCGCAGCUCUGUCAAGAAGAUUGAGAAGAUGAAGGAAAAGAGGCAAGCAAAAUACUCAGAAAAUAAGCUGAAGUGCACUAAAGCUAGGAACGAUUAUCUGCUGAACCUGGCAGCAACAAAUGCAGCAGUCAGUAAAUACUACAUCCAUGAUGCCUCAGACCUGAUUGAUUGCUGUGACUUGGGAUUCCAUGCCAGCCUGGCACGGACGUUCAGAACAUAUCUUUCUGCUGAAUACAAUCUAGAAACCUCACGUCAUGAGGGCCUGGACAUCAUUGAGAAUGCUGUAGACAACUUGGAUGCACGGAGUGACAAGCAUACAGUCAUGGAUAUGUGCAACCAAGUCUUCUGUCCUCCACUAAAGUUUGAAUACCAGCCUCAUAUGGGGGAUGAGGUAUGUCAAGUGAGCGCCCAGCAGCCAGUUCAGACAGAGUUGCUCAUGCGAUAUCACCAGCUGCAGUCUAGACUUGCCACACUCAAAAUAGAAAACGAAGAGGUGCGAAAAACAUUGGAUGCUACUAUGCAGACAUUGCAAGACAUGCUGACAGUGGAAGAUUUUGAUGUCUCAGAUGCCUUCCAGCAUAGUCGCUCCACUGAGUCGGUCAAAUCAGCUGCUUCAGAGACUUACAUGAGUAAACUAAACAUUGCCAAGAGGAGAGCCAACCAACAAGAAACUGAAAUGUUCUAUUUUACUAAAUUUAAAGAGUAUUUGAAUGGCAGCAACCUUAUUACCAAGCUGCAGGCUAAACAUGACUUACUGAAGCAGACUCUGGGAGAAGGUAAGUUCAACUUAGCCCAAACAAAAAUAUUGCAUUUCAAAUCACAACAGGAUUUAGAAUUGGAUCUUAGACUUCUUAAAUCUCACUUGCUAUUGUUUUCUUUCUUAUGUCAACAUUUGUGAUUAGUGAUUCUGUCCUGCUUAAUAGAAGAGGGGCAGAAAAUCUUUGGUCCUUUCACUUUUAAUUUUGGCUGAGAGUGGCGUUUGAAUGCCCCAUUGCGUUGAUUUGUUUCCUCAGGGCGUAAGGCAGGCAUCUCAGCAUUAGGGAUGAACCCCAUUAUCCCUGCUUUGCCUGCUCUUUGUUUAGUGAAAAAGAAAAAUGAAAACACCAAACCCCAUGGACGCGUUCCUUUGUAGCUGUGUUCUUGUUAACAAUUAUCCAUUUCAUUUGGCAAAUAAAUGAUUUGUUUUUGUUUUUUGAAACCCAAAAAGGCCAAAGUAGUGAAAUGAUAGCAUUGGUGCUUAGAGCCAUAAUCUGGAACAAAGUUUUCCAAAAUAUUCUCCAGCAUCAUAACUGAAUGGCAAUAAAAAAUUAGAUGGUCGUUUCAAUGUUUUGCAUACUCUAUAUGUGUAAUAAAAGGUAAAGGUAAAGGUACCCCUGACCAUUAGGUCCAGUCGUGGACGACUCUAGGGUUGCGCGCUCAUAUUGCUCUAUAGGCUGAGGGAGCCGGCCUUUGUCUGCAGACAGCUUCCGGGUCAUGUGGCCAGCAUGACUAAGCCGCUUCUCGUGAACCAGAGCAGCGCAUGGAAACGCCGUUUACCUUCCCGCCGGAGCGGUACCUAUUUAUCUACUUGCAGUGCAUGCUUUCAAACUGCUAGGUGGGCAGGAGCUGGGACCGAACAACGGGAGCUCACCCCGUCACGGGGAUUCGAACUGCCGAUCUUCCGAUCAGCAAGCCCUAGGCUCUGUGGUUUAGACCACAGCGCCACCCGUGUCCCAACAUAUGUGCAAUGGACAGGGUGAUUUGUGGCAUUCUUGUUUUGAUAGCUGUCAUGUUGAACUGUGGAAUUAAAAGGCAUUGUGUUUUUCACAGCUGAGGAUUUUAUAUCUAGGGGGAAUUCUUGUAACUUAACUUGAGUCAAAAUGUGCCGGGUCCUCUCUACCAGAAUAGUUUUUUUGCUACUAGUGAUUUGAAGCAUCUUGCCUCAAAUCAUUUGGCCUCAGUUGGCUGCUUGUGUGGAGGUCCUGCAGGCAAGGGAGGAACAUAGGCUAUCAGUACAGCUGUGCAUGGUUUCAUGUGUUGAGAGGCAUUCAUCUUUUUACCUGACAGCAGAGUUUGGGAAAUAAUUGGCCUGUUUCAAGGCAUGUGUAAGUAGGCCAGACUUUCCCACCUAUCAACAUAGUGGAGCUGGUGGUUUGGGCCUGCCUGUGGAUCACUUUGCUGCCCUUCCCUCUCUCCUCUGGUGAUAAUUAUUGUCCUUGGUGACAGAAGGAAUGCCUAAUGAAUGUUUUAAUCAACUUUUAAAGGGAUGCUGUAGGCUACAAUUUAUUCUCCUUCUGGUUUGCUAUUGAGAUUGUCCACUUGGGAAUAGGUCUGCCAUAAUCUGGCCUGAGCCAGUUGCUUUCAGCUCUUCGGGACUGAGCUUUUAAGUUUGUCAACCUUUGAAGGCCUGUGGGAAGUUCCAUUUGCAAACCAAAGAAACUGACAUGAGCGACACAUGGUUUCAGAAGAAUGCUGCUUUCAGACCUGCUAGGGAAGGUCAAUGGGGGACCACAGAAACUGCAUUAGCAGCCCAUGCUUUAACUCCUGUCCUCACCCAAAUGUUGAUGAAGAGGACUCUUAGUAACCCACAAAAGCUUACCCCCUUAUAAAUUUGUAAGCUGCUGCAUGACCCUUUGUUUUUAUUAAUGGUUAGUACAAGAAAAUACAGCUGUCAUUUCCUACCACUGGAUCUGUGAGGCUGAUAUUUUACCCCUUUUGUAUGCUGUCCCCUCAACAAUGCCAUCUCCUCAAAAAGUCUCUGCUUUGCACAAGUGUGACCUUAAAAAUACUUCAAGAAGAGUGGUUGCCUUAACUCAAGUAGGUACCUAAGGUUGAAUGAAAGAUUUAUGUCCUAUCCUGAAUAUAAAUUGGAACCUGAGCUGAACUGGAGCCCAUGAGACUUUUUAAAAAGUUGUGCUUGGUGAACAAGGGACUAUUUCUCAUUUUAGAGAUGCCCAGUUUGCAGAAGCUUCUGGUGAUUUAUUGCUAUAUUUUGCUGUCAUACACUAGGAGUGAAUAUACUUCUUAAAGUUUGGCAUCCAUUGCCUCUGAUCUACUUUUAAUACUGCAGCCCUUGUAACACAGAUAUAAACAUAUAAAAGUUUAAUUGGAUUUUGCUGGCUUUAAUCCCAUAGAUAGUUGCCUCUCCCAAGUUAAUAUGAUUUUAAGACCUGACUCAUCAUAAGAGACAGCAUUUGAUACACAGUUCUUUAAACUGUGUUUUUUUAAAAAAAUUGUGUCAAUACUUUCUCUUCUGUCUUAGAAAUUUCUCUCUGCCACAGAGCUGGUAAACCUACAAGCGUAUGCAGCCUUAUUAGAACAAUGGCUGCUUCUUUAUAUCCCCUUCUGUGGAUUGGUCUGUGUUUCAUAUUAAAAUUGGAGUAGGUCUCAUUAGGCAUAAUCAAUCACUGCCCACUGCCAGGCUUAUCUGAGAGCAGCUGAUUCCACAUUCAAGUGUUUAACAUAUGAAACAGGGCGGAGCUAGCAGUUAGUUGAAGCCUGACCCAUAUGGACUCUCCCCUUAGUUCAGACAACAAGCCUCUAAGAUUUUGACAGUGCUAAGACAACACUAUCAAUCAACACAUGAUGUGAUUGGAUGUUUUAUUAGUCAGCUUUCUAGUUAGCAAAAAUUAUUCAGCAGCUCUCAAGAGCUAAGGCUCCAGGCAUUCUUAUUUAUUUACCAAGAGCUGCAUCAUUAGUAUGAUGGUCAGCUGCCUCUGCUAACCAGGAUGCUGGACCAGUUUUUCAUGACUCACACCUUUAUUUAUAUACACACACAAACUCACUUCCGGGGCCAGCUUGUGGCUUUUCCAGGCCCCUCGCUGUCCUUUCCCUGAGCCUAUGCUGUCACCUCCAGUUUUAACCUUAGCUCCACUUUUCUCUUUUAUGAAGAUCCUUCAUCUGACUUUGAUUUAGCCCAGCUCCUUUAACUCUCAUGCCGUUACUCUCUUGACCAAUUUACGAGCACAGUCUUGGAUAUUCCAUUUGGGCCAGAUAACAAAUGAUACCCCCUUUCCAGGUGAAGCUGUAGUUAGGCUUUAGGACUGCACUUUUAUGCACUUUAGCUUAUUUGUUAAUUAGUUAAUCAGAAAUUACAAUAUUCUUACAUUGUUUCAUCCAGUAAUUGCGUCACAUCUUUUUGAAUUCCCUUUAUCUGCUUUCACUCACUAUCUCACCUGGAAGUUUAAAUUCAGUAGCCAUGAGUCAUAUAGGAUAAAAGGCAGAGUAGUUGAUUAUUUUUGGCACAGUCACCACAAGCAUCCCUUUCAGGUGCCUUACAGAAAGAUCUUUCAACAAUCUUGAAGCCUGCAUGCAACUUCACAUGGAAAAAUGUUUCAUUGCCUGAUCCUUUAUUCUGAAAUUUUUUUCCACUGUUUUAUAGAUUUCUUUGCUCCUUCAAUUUAAACAUAAACAAUUAUUUAUUACAUUUAUUUUCCUCCAAGGAGCUCAAGGUGGCAUACAUGAUUCUCCCCCUCCUAAUUUAAUUCCCACAUCAACUGUAUGAGGUAGGCUAGGUGAGGGGCAGUGUUGACCCAAGGUCACAUCCGGUGAGCUUCACGGCCAAGUAGGGAUUUGAACCCUGGUCUCCCAGGUCCUAGUCCAACACUUUACAUGCUAAAAAAGAUAUUUAAAAAAGUAGAGGCAGCAUCUGAAAAGAAUAAAUACAACAGGAGAGCCAAUCUGAAGUGACACUGAAGGUUUAUUAUUUAUUUUUAAGAGGAAUAAAUAGUCCGUCACAUUUCGAACAACAUGUUCUUCAGGAGCAAUGGAGUCAACUAUUACCUUGUGCUUAGGAUGCCAGGUUAGCUAGGGCAUUUAGAGAAGGAACAUCAGGCUGGAUGAGCCAGUGGUCCAAAGGCAACUUCAUCUGUUCUUUCAUGGGGAUCUCUUUUCUUAUUUUCACUGUUAUCUACAAUCACCUCUUGAUAAUGCAUGUUGCCAGUGGAAGUGUACACAGAGAACAUGCAAGUCUUUUAAGGUUGACCCUUAGGGCACAUAGAAAAAAAUUCCUAAAGACCAACUAAGUUUUUGGUAUGAGCUUUCGUGUGCAUGCACACUUCUUCAGAUACCUUAGGGCACAUGAUUGCAAAACCAGAAAUGAGCUGCAUCCAAAAAUGUUUCUUUUAUAUAUUGAUUAAGAGAGAGAGGGAGAAUGCAACUUUUUUUUAAGGCAGUUUUGGUCCUGAAACAAAAACAAACGAAAUUCCACAAAGAAAAUGAGGAAUCUGUUUACUGAGUUAUGAAUGGAAUGACAUACACUUUAACAGUAUGUAGUGGCAUGCCACCUUCUAUCAAACCCAAAUGUUGUAAAUACUUUGAAGGGGCAAAGACAGCAAACAUGGGAGUCUGUCUGGUUAAAGUCAAAUGGGCAGUUAUCUCGUAGGAAAAAGCUGAUCUGCUAAAUACUGCACUGUGUUCUCAUGCUGUUAGCAUAUCCUCAGUGAGGUGAUGGGAUAAUCUUCUGCAUGAUUCCCAAGGAUAGUAGUCCAUAUCAGUACUCGUCCCUAUCUCCCUUCCCCCACCCCCUAUCCCCCGCUCUUUUAACUGCUAAAAAUAAGAGCUAUUGAGGCACAGAUCUUUUAUCUGGUGCAGAUUGACUAAACUUCAUUGACAGUAGAGCUGUUCGAUUUAUGCUAGCUGCCUGGAUCUUUUAAUAAUUUAUUUAAGCUCUUAACAAACGUCAUCCCUGAAGGCUCAAGGCAGAAAACGGCUCUAUAAGAGAGCUGAAGAUAAUACUAAUCAAAAUGCUAAAGACGGAGAUGCAGCUAAAAUAUUUGCCCUCCUCGCCAACUGUAUCCCCAGCUGGCCCCUUAACUCUAGCUAGCUAGAGUUAUUGUAUGGCUUAAGAAGACAGUAGGUCUUCAACAGUUGGAUAGCACAGUUGGUAGAGUACGAGACUCUUAACCUCAGGGUUAUGGGUUCGAGUCCCACAUUGGGCACAAUAUUUGUGCAUUGCAGGGGGUUGAACUAGAUGACCCUUGUGGUCCAUUCAAACUCUACAAUUCUGUGAUUCUAUGCAGCCACAAAGAUGUUCCUCCCUGCGUCUGAAUCUCACUAUUGGAAAGAUGCAAGGAGCAAUGCUGAGGCUGACGUCCGAGAUUAGGAUUCAAGAAAGAAACAAGCUCCGAAAGCCUCUGAGUAUCAUCCUGAGAUGAUUGAUUGGAGUAGGGAAGUAUAGAGAUGCUCUCAAGUCAACAUGGUUCUUGACUUGUAAGAUGGCUUUCGGCAGUCAAGGGAUUGUAUCGAACACUAUUCCCUGCUCAAUAGUAGAUUUGGAAUUAAUGGAGAGGACCAAUUUAAGUUUAUUAAGUAAGUCAACUCUGAGUAGAACUUAGUUGGAUACACUCCCAAAUUUGUAAAUUAAUAGUAAACUGAGGUUUUAUGAGUAAAAUGUAAUGUCUUCAGACCCUUGUGAUUUCUCACUUGCCAUAUAUGAGCAGUUAACUUGUAGCUUAACGUUAGAACAGUUUCCCCCCGCCCCCAAUUUUUGAAGAAAAAAAUAAACCAAAUAGCUGUGACCUUUUAUAUUAUGUAAACAAGGAUGGAAUUAACAUGUGAUUUCUUCCC
Zootoca vivipara (common lizard) is the source of this 7900-nucleotide non-coding RNA. NCBI's taxonomy places the organism in Eukaryota, Metazoa, Chordata, Lepidosauria, Squamata, Lacertidae. The record is from RefSeq and is a predicted model, not a curated record.